This 648-nucleotide long non-coding RNA is filed under the name Mytilus galloprovincialis (Mediterranean mussel). The record is from RNAcentral. Lineage: Eukaryota; Metazoa; Mollusca; Bivalvia; Mytilida; Mytilidae.
UUAGCAUAAAGUCUGUUCAAUAGUUGGCUGUUUGUGGGCAGUUUGAGGACCAUACUGUCCUUUAGAUUGACCCUGUCCUCUGUCAACGCCCCAUCGUCCAAAGUUGUCCAUGAUCGUUGAGGCUUCAUUCAUAUCCUUUAAUGCUGAUCUUUAUAGAAAACUAAAAAUAUCCAUCACUUUUUUCACUUUUCUUUAUUAUUACUCGGCAUGCACUCAUGAUUUUUUUUAAGUAUCUGAUAAAUAAUGCAUACAAUGUAUGAACAUACAAAACACUUUUAAAAAUAAAAACUUAUCAAUAUUCCAAUGAGGCUUAAACAAAAUUUAACUGUCAAGUCUUGUCAACACAAGAUUCAAUACAACUCUACAUGCACGACCAUUUCUAUUUUUUAAUGAUUUUCAUCCACUGAUACAAAACGUUUGAUCAAUGUAAUAUCUGGUAUUUAUUUUGUUAGGUGCCAAUCAAAGCCGACUUUUAAAAUGUCUUCACAGAUAGCUUAACAAAAUCUUCCUUUCAUUCUUAAUACCAUCAAAAUUAAAAUGUUUUGCUUGAGAAGAUGUGAAACUUGUCUUCUACAUCAUCCUAGACCUGAAAACAAAUAACUUAUCUAUAACAAAUAUCAUUCAAUUUCAUUAUGUACAUACAAUAUU